GCUGCUGUUUAUGCUCAUGCUGUGUUGUUCUUAGGUAAUUUCCCUUGGAUGGUUUUUGUGCUGCAGACAAGUAACAAAACCUUUGAACUGCAGAGAGGAAUAUGAAGGGUUUGAAACAGCCUGCUGAAGUCUUUGAGAGAGCCUGGAGAGUCCAUGCAAAAAAACUUGAGGGAAUGAUGGGACCUGCAAAAAAAACCACUCAUUUCAUUUGAGAUGGGGAAAGAGGAGAAACCUACAGGUGGAGGAGAGAAAGUAAACCAGAGGAUUACAGUGGUAGAGAAGCAGUGCCCUGCCUGAUUUUGGUGAUGCAACAGGAGCCGGUGAAGAUAACAUUGCUUUGGUAGAGAGCUGGUUUUCAAAUAUUACCUACAGGACAAAUCCUAUUGAAGAGGUUAAAUUUUCCCAGACAGCUGGAGCUUGUGUGAUAUUUUGCAGUGUUUCAUAUAUUCUGAAUAGUGGAUAUCAUUCAAGUUCUGAAAAUCUAGAGGUAAAUAUCUUCCCUUUAUUCCUUCCAUCUUAUAUCUUCGAUAUCUUCAU
This 537-nucleotide long non-coding RNA is filed under the name Junco hyemalis (dark-eyed junco). RNAcentral describes it as "lncRNA (ENSJHYG00000004693.1)". Lineage: Eukaryota; Metazoa; Chordata; Aves; Passeriformes; Passerellidae. The record is from RNAcentral.